This is a long non-coding RNA of Canis lupus familiaris (dog), 511 nucleotides long. RefSeq lists it as uncharacterized. The record is from RefSeq and is a predicted model, not a curated record. NCBI's taxonomy places the organism in Eukaryota, Metazoa, Chordata, Mammalia, Carnivora, Canidae. The transcript has 3 exons.
ACCGGCAAAGCAGUCUGUACCCCGGUGAGGUGCUCACACAGUGAAUACUAAGCAGCAGUUGGAAUUGGUGAGUUAUAUUUACAAACGGCAACAGGGAGGGAGCCAUCUCCAAAACAUGAUGUGGAGUGAAAAAGAGCUUGAGAAGGCAGCCUCCAAAUCCUGAGCCUGCAGAAUCUGAGAGGCUCGUCAGGGAAUAAGGAACUGUCUGAUGUUUCCAGGCAGCACUAACUUCUUCUCUGUACCUGUGAUACAUAUGCAGCAGAAACGAAAUGGUGAUGCUGCUGUUGUAAUAGCCGUCUUGGGACUCUGAGGCCCCAAAGCUGGGAUGGCAAGUCACUAUGAUGAGGAUAGCAGGGGUGAAGUACCUUGGUCCUUGAUGACAUCGCGAAUCCUCAAUCAGCCAGAUGAACCAAUAUCCUUUGGACUUCUUGUUAAAUAAAUGAUAUCCUUACAUUCGAACCCACCAGUAGCCCAUUUUUCUUCUCCUUGUAGCCAAAUGAAUCUGUGGAUU